AAACCAACAGGGAUUACCUCAGUAACGGCGAGUGAAGCGGUAACAGCUCAAAUUUGAAAUCUGGGUCUUUCAGGCUCCGAGUUGUAAUUUGUAGAAGAUGCUUCGGGUGCGGCUCCGGUCUAAGUUCCUUGGAACAGGACGUCAUAGAGGGUGAGAAUCCCGUAUGUGAUCGGUUGCUUGCGCCCAUGUGAAGCUCUUUCGACGAGUCGAGUUGUUUGGGAAUGCAGCUCAAAAUGGGUGGUAAAUUUCAUCUAAAGCUAAAUAUUGGCCAGAGACCGAUAGCGCACAAGUAGAGUGAUCGAAAGAUGAAAAGCACUUUGGAAAGAGAGUUAAACAGUACGUGAAAUUGCUGAAAGGGAAGCGCUUGCAACCAGACUUGCGCGUUGCCGAUCAUCCGGGGUUCUCCCCGGUGCACUCGGCCUCGCUCAGGCCAGCAUCGGUUUUGGUGGUGGGAUAAAGGCCUUGGGAAUGUAGCUCCUUUCGGGGAGUGUUAUAGCCCUCGGUGCAAUGCCGCCUACCGGGACCGAGGACCGCGCUUCGGCUAGGAUGCUGGCGUAAUGGUUGUAAGCGAC
This 572-nucleotide ribosomal RNA is filed under the name uncultured fungus. RNAcentral's name for it is "eukaryotic LSU rRNA". It matches the Rfam family "Eukaryotic large subunit ribosomal RNA", at positions 62 to 648 of the family's 3401-position model. Lineage: Eukaryota; Fungi. The record is from RNAcentral.